RNAcentral lists this ribosomal RNA (384 nucleotides) under uncultured bacterium. RNAcentral describes it as "bacterial SSU rRNA". It matches the Rfam family "Bacterial small subunit ribosomal RNA", at positions 30 to 412 of the family's 1533-position model. The record is from RNAcentral.
AUUGAACGCUGGCGGCAUGCCUUACACAUGCAAGUCGAACGGCAGCACGGGUGCUUGCACCUGGUGGCGAGUGGCGAACGGGUGAGUAAUGUAUCGGAACGUACCAUUCAGUGGGGGAUAACGUAGCGAAAGUUACGCUAAUACCGCAUAUUCUCUGAGGAGGAAAGUAGGGGAUCGCAAGACCUUACGCUGAUUGAGCGGCCGAUAUCGGAUUAGCUAGUUGGUGAGGUAAAGGCUCACCAAGGCGACGAUCCGUAGCUGGUCUGAGAGGAUGAUCAGCCACACUGGAACUGAGACACGGUCCAGACUCCUACGGGAGGCAGCAGUGGGGAAUUUUGGACAAUGGGGGCAACCCUGAUCCAGCCAUGCCGCGUGAGUGAAGAA